Molecule: ribosomal RNA, 301 nt
Filed under: uncultured bacterium
Lineage: Bacteria
Description: partial 16S ribosomal RNA
Rfam family: Bacterial small subunit ribosomal RNA
Source: RNAcentral
CAGUCGCCACGGUAAUACGUAGGUGGCAAGCGUUGUCCGGAAUUAUUGGGCGUAAAGGGCUCGCAGGCGGUUUCUUAAGUCUGAUGUGAAAGCCCCCGGCUCAACCGGGGAGGGUCAUUGGAAACUGGGAAACUUGGGUGCAGAAGAGGAGAGUGGAAUUCCACGUGUAGCGGUGAAAUGCGUAGAGAUGUGGAGGAACACCAGUGGCGAAGGCGACUCUCUGGUCUGUAACUGACGCUGAGGAGCGAAAGCGUGGGGAGCGAACAGGAUUAGAUACCCGGGUAGUCCCUGUCUCUUAUAC